RNAcentral lists this ribosomal RNA (1534 nucleotides) under metagenome. Its description in RNAcentral is "bacterial SSU rRNA". It matches the Rfam family "Bacterial small subunit ribosomal RNA". The record is from RNAcentral.
AGAGCAUGAUACUGGCUCAGAACGAACGCUGGCAGCGUGCCUUAUACAUGCAAGUCGAGCGAGAAACUGCACUUCGGUGCAGGAGUAGAGCGGCAAAAGGGUGAGUAACGCAUGGGUAACCUGCCUUGUGGAGCGGAAUAACGGCGCCCCGAAAGGGGCUUUAGCGAAAGUGCCGCUAAUACCGCAUAAUGAUGCUUAGGCGCCCGCUUAAUCGUAAGUGGGGACGCCCGGGUGUUCAAAGGUGCUACCUUCGGGUAGUUUCCGCCACAAGAGGGGCCUGUGUCCUAUUAGCUAGUUGGUGGGGUAAUGGCCUACCAAGGCGAUGAUGGGUAGCCGGCGUGAGAGCGUGACCGGCCACACUGGGACUGAGACACUGCCCAGAGCCCCACGGGGCGCAGCAGUAGGGAAUUUUCCACAAUGGGCGAAAGCCUGAUGGAGCGACGCUGCGUGGAGGAAGAAGGCCUUCGGGUUGUAAACUCCUGUCAGAGGUUAUGAAGCCACUUCGGUGGUUGACAAAGGCCUCAAAGGAAGCCAUGGCUAACUCCGUGCCAGCAGCCGCGGUAACUCGGAGAUGGCGAGCGUUGUUCGGAUUUACUGGGCGUAAAGCGCGCGUAGGCGGCGCGGUAAGUUGGAGGUGAAAUCCCGAGGCUCAACCUCGGAACUGCCCCCAAAACUACUGUGCUAGAGGACGACAGGGGAGAGUGGAACUCAUGGUGGAGCGGUGGAAUGCGUAGAUAUCAUGGGGAACGCCGGUGGCGAAAGCGACUCUCUGGGUCGGUCCUGACGCUGAGGUGCGAAAGCCAGGGGAGCGAACGGGAUUAGAUACCCCGGUAGUCCUGGCCGUAAACGAUGGCCACUUGGCAGUAGGGGACCAACCUUUACUGCCGUAGCUAACGCGUUAAGUGCCCCGCCUGGGUAGUACGACCGCAAGGUUAAAACUCAAAGUAAUUGACGGGGGCUCGCACAAGCGGUGGAGCAUGUUCCUUAAUUCGAUUCAACGCGAGGAACCUUACCAAGGCUUGACAUGCUAGUGGUACGAACCUGAAAGGGUUAGGACCCUGUUUUGCAGGGAGCUAGCACAGGUGUUGCAUGGCUGUCGUCCGUUCGUAUCGUGAGAUGUUGGGUUAAGUCCCGCAACGAGCGAAACCCUUGUUCUUAGUUGCUAACGCGUAAUGGCGAGGACUCUAAGGAGACUGCCGGUGUCAAACCGGAGGAAGGUGGGGAUGACGUCAAGUCAUCAUGGCCCUUACGCCUUGGGCUGGAAACAUGCUACAAUGGCCGGUACAAUGGGAUGCCAAGUCGCAAGACGGAGCGAAGCCCUAAAAGCCGGCCCCAGUUCGGAUCGGGGGCUGCAACCCGCCCCCGUGAAGUCGGAAUCGCUAGUAAUCGCGGAUCAGCCACGCCGCGGUGAAUAUGUGCCCGAGCCUUGUACACACCGCCCGUCAAGCCACGGGAGCUGGGAGCGCGCGAAGUCAUGGGUCCAACCUGCUUGCAGGAGGGCACUGUGCCCACCGUGAAUCCAGCGACUGGGACC